GAGGAAUAUUGGUCAAUGGGCGAGAGCCUGAACCAGCCAAGUAGCGUGCAGGAUGACGGCCCUAUGGGUUGUAAACUGCUUUUGUAUGGGGAUAAAGUUAGGGACGUGUCCCUAUUUGCAGGUACCAUACGAAUAAGGACCGGCUAAUUCCGUGCCAGCAGCCGCGGUAAUACGGAAGGUCCAGGCGUUAUCCGGAUUUAUUGGGUUUAAAGGGAGCGUAGGCUGGAGAUUAAGUGUGUUGUGAAAUGUAGACGCUCAACGUCUGAAUUGCAGCGCAUACUGGUUUCCUUGAGUACGCACAACGUUGGCGGAAUUCGUCGUGUAGCGGUGAAAUGCUUAGAUAUGACGAAGAACUCCGAUUGCGAAGGCAGCUGACGGGAGCGCAACUGACGCUUAAGCUCGAAGGUGCGGGUAUCAAACAGGAUUAGAUACCCUGGUAGUCCGCACAGUAAACGAUGGAUGCCCGCUGUUGGUACCUGGUAUCAGCGGCUAAGCGAAAGCAUUAAGCAUCCCACCUGGGGAGUACGCCGGCAACGGUG
RNAcentral lists this ribosomal RNA (539 nucleotides) under uncultured bacterium. Its description in RNAcentral is "bacterial SSU rRNA". It matches the Rfam family "Bacterial small subunit ribosomal RNA", at positions 356 to 896 of the family's 1533-position model. The record is from RNAcentral.